ACGAACGCUGGCGGCGUGCUUAACACAUGCAAGUCGAACGGAAAGGCCCUGCUUUUGUGGGGUGCUCGAGUGGCGAACGGGUGAGUAACACGUGAGUAACCUGCCCUUGACUUUGGGAUAACUUCAGGAAACUGGGGCUAAUACCGGAUAGGAGCUCCUGCUGCAUGGUGGGGGUUGGAAAGUUUCGGCGGUUGGGGCUGGACUCGCGGCUUAUCAGCUUGUUGGUGGGGUAGUGGCUUACCAAGGCUUUGACGGGUAGCCGGCCUGAGAGGGUGACCGGCCACAUUGGGACUGAGAUACGGCCCAGACUCCUACGGGGGGCAGCAGUGGGGAAUAUUGCACAAUGGGCGGAAGCCUGAUGCAGCAACGCCGCGUGCGGGAUGACGGCCUUCGGGUUGUAAACCGCUUUCGCCUGUGACGAAGCGUGAGUGACGGUAAUGGGUAAAGAAGCACCGGCUAACUACGUG
RNAcentral lists this ribosomal RNA (467 nucleotides) under uncultured bacterium. RNAcentral describes it as "partial 16S ribosomal RNA". It matches the Rfam family "Bacterial small subunit ribosomal RNA", at positions 29 to 507 of the family's 1533-position model. The record is from RNAcentral.